Pristis pectinata (smalltooth sawfish) is the source of this 1711-nucleotide long non-coding RNA. RefSeq lists it as uncharacterized. The record is from RefSeq and is a predicted model, not a curated record. NCBI's taxonomy places the organism in Eukaryota, Metazoa, Chordata, Chondrichthyes, Rhinopristiformes, Pristidae. The transcript is spliced from 2 exons.
GCGAGAACGAGACCCGAAGGAAACAAGUAUCGGUGAAGAGGUAGUACAAGGGAAGAUGGGUAUUGGAAGUGGAGGAUUUGUGUGUGGAAUCUCAAACCCAACAUCACACCAGAUCUGCAGCACCUCUCGUAUCGUCAUCCUUUGAACGUGGAAGGAGAGAGGCUUUGUCUGUUUGAUUUCUGGGCAAACAUUUCAAGUUGCAUCGUGACCAGGAGUGAGUGUUCCACAGCACUAACAGCGGAAAGAUCGUUAACCCUACAUGACCAGAAAAAACACUGCAUUAUUGACAGCAAGAAGAAACCAAAAUUAUUUUUGGGGUGUAUGUGUGCUUUUGAUGAUCUGGAAGAAAUUACAUAAAUUUUCUUAAGCUCUGAUGAUGAAGAAGGCAGAUAUUUCCCAGAUAAGGAUAAAGACGAAGCUGUUCACCUGCGCCAGAUGUGGGAAAGGAUUCACUCAGUCAUCUGACCUGGUGAUGCACCAGCUGAUUCAUUGCUGAGAAUUUGUUCACCUGCUCAGAGUAUGGGAAGGGAUUCACUUGGUUAUCUAACCUGGUGACACAUUAGCAAGUUCACACUGUGGAGUGACCAUUCAUCUGCUGCUUGUGUGGCAAGAAACCUGGGCCUCUGUACCUCCCUCUGCAACUCGAUCCUCAAUUUCCUUAUCGGCAGGCCUCAAUCAGUGAGGAUCCUCCUUGCUGAUCAUCAGCACAGGUGCACCUCAAGGCUGCGUGCUUAGCCCUCUGCUCUACUCUCCAUACACACACACGACUGUGUGGCUAAGCACAGCUCCAAUGCCAUAUUACAAAUUCGCCACUGUUGUGGGACGGAUCACAGGCAGUAAUGAGUCAGCUUACCGGAGUGAGGUAGGACACCUGGUUGACUGGUGCCGCAACAACCUCUCAUUCAACAUCAGUAAAACUAAAGAGUUGAUUGUGGACUUCAGGAAGGGGAAGGAGGGCAAACAUGCGCCAGUCUACAUUGGGGGAUCAGCAGUGGAGAGAGUCAGCAGCUUUAAAUUCCUGGGCGUUAACAUAUCAGAUGAUUUGUCCCGGCCCAGCACAAAGAUGCGAUCACAAGGAAGAUGCACUGGCAUCUUUACUUUCUUAGAAGGUUAGGCAGAUUCGGCUUGUCACCAAACACUCUGAGAAACUUCUACAGAUAUAUUGAUGAAAGUGUCCUGACUGGUUACAUCAUGGUCUGGUACGGCAAUUCGAAUGCACAGGAACGUAAGAAGCUGCAGAGAGUAGUGGACUCGGCCCAAUACAUCACGGGCACAUCCUUCCCCACCAUCGGGAGUAUCUACAGGAGGCGCUGCCUCAAGAAGGCAAUGUCCAUCAUCAAAGAUCCCCAGCAUCUGGGCCGUGCCAUCUUCUCGCAGCUACCAUCGGGCUGGAGCCCUGAAGCCCCACACCACCAGGUUCAGGAACAGCUACUUCCCUUCAACCAUUUGUUUCUUGAACUAACCAGCAAAACCCUAAUCACUAUCAAAGUAUAACAACACCAGGACCACUUUGCAAUAAAAUGGACUUUUUUUUUGUUCUAAUUGUGGUCUUUCUUGUAUAAUUUUAUGUAAUUUAUGUUUAAUUUAUGUUUUUCUUGUAAAUGCUGUGUAUCUGAUGCCAUGUGCCUGUGAUGCUGCAAGUAAGUUUCUCAAUGCACCUGUGCACAUGUGUACUUGUGCAGAUGAUAAUAAACUCGACUUUGACUUCUGA